CCAGGUCUCCCGUCUUCCUAGUGUCCUAGUGACAUGGGGACCCUGGGAUACACGGGGAUACAGGGAGACAUGGGGCAUUGAUACAUAGGAUCACUGGGAGACCUGGGGAUACGACACUAGGGGACACUGGAAGACAUGGGGCACUGAGACACUGAUACAUAGGAACACUGAGACCUGGAGUAAUCGACACAUGGGGCCACUGAGUCAUGGGGGCACUGGGAGGAAUCUAUCUAUACAGCAGAUUUAAACUAAGUAGUUUUUUGGUGAUUUUACAGCAUUUUCUCUAAUGUCACUCCUUGUGAUUUACAUCAUGUGAUGUCACCCACACAUAUUUAAUUAUGCACAUUAGUAAGGCCGGUAUGUUUUUCCAAGAAAG
Non-coding RNA from Pelobates cultripes (western spadefoot toad), 376 nucleotides. The record is from the annotation of a GenBank genome assembly. NCBI's taxonomy places the organism in Eukaryota, Metazoa, Chordata, Amphibia, Anura, Pelobatidae.